Molecule: long non-coding RNA, 494 nt
Organism: Eleginops maclovinus (Patagonian blennie)
Lineage: Eukaryota; Metazoa; Chordata; Actinopteri; Perciformes; Eleginopidae
Exons: 5
Source: RefSeq, a predicted model, not a curated record
UCAUCCCCCCCCCCCUGAGGGUCUAGAGUGGCCCCAAGCAGGUGUAAGGCCCGGACAUUGGUGGUGGCUUGGUCACACACAAUUGCCUGAACCUAACAUGUAGAAAAGUAUCAAUGCAUGGCCUAUAGCCUGCAGGUGGUGAAUGGCUCCCCUGAUGGUGUCUGCAAUCUCCUCCGACAGCAUGGAGCUGGAGGAAAAGAAGUAUCCAAUUGGCUGGAAGACAUUGGGAAAGUGCUUGUUAGAGAAGUAUCCGACUCGUGCCGUAACGAAUCUGUGAAGAGUUGUAGCUGGGCCCGGAUGAAAUCACGGCACUUUUCUGAGCAGUUGGGCAGGAUCUCUUUAAGGCUACAUGGGGAGAAAAUGUUAAGUCCAAAAAACAAAGGAGGAGAGGCAAGCAGUGGUGGGUUUCCACAGUUCACCAAUGUGGGGAUGGCUUCUUGUGUGAGUGCUUUUCUUCCAUUAGACUAGUACAGAACAUGAAGGACAUCGUCAAG